GCGCAGCAGCGCGAAUUUUUCUCAAUGGGGGCAACCCUGAAGGAGCGACGCCGCGUGGAGGAUGAAGGCUUUCGGGUUGUAAACUCCUGUCAUUUGAGAACAAGGUACGAGUGUUAACUGUACUCGUAUUGAUAGUAUCAGAAGAGGAAGGGACGGCUAACUCUGUGCCAGCAGCCGCGGUAAUACAGAGGUCCCAAGCGUUGUUCGGAUUCAUUGGGCGUAAAGGGUGCGUAGGUGGCGCCGUAAGUGGGGUGUGAAAUCUCGGGGCUUAACUCCGAAACUGCAUUCCAUACUGCGGUGCUUGAGGACUGGAGAGGAGACUGGAAUUCAUGGUGUAGCAGUGAAAUGCGUAGAGAUCAUGAGGAAGACCAGUGGCGAAGGCGGGUCUCUGGACAGUUCCUGACACUGAGGCACGAAGGCCAGGGGAGCAAACGGGAUUAGAUACCCGUGUAGU
RNAcentral lists this ribosomal RNA (454 nucleotides) under uncultured organism. RNAcentral's name for it is "bacterial SSU rRNA". It matches the Rfam family "Bacterial small subunit ribosomal RNA", at positions 346 to 794 of the family's 1533-position model. The record is from RNAcentral.